GCCUCUAUGGCGUAGUGGUAACGCGUUGCACUUGUAAGUUAUACUAUGACGGUAAUAAUUGCAAGAAUAUGCAAAGAUCCCUCGUUCGAUCCGGGGUGGAGGCA
Molecule: non-coding RNA, 104 nt
Organism: Hypoxylon trugodes
Lineage: Eukaryota; Fungi; Ascomycota; Sordariomycetes; Xylariales; Hypoxylaceae
Source: the annotation of a RefSeq genome assembly